Molecule: ribosomal RNA, 497 nt
Filed under: uncultured bacterium
Lineage: Bacteria
Description: partial 16S ribosomal RNA
Rfam family: Bacterial small subunit ribosomal RNA
Source: RNAcentral
GAUGAACGCUGGCGGCGUGCCUAAUACAUGCAAGUCGAGCGAACAGACGAGGAGCUUGCUCCUCUGACGUUAGCGGCGGACGGGUGAGUAACACGUGGAUAACCUACCUAUAAGACUGGGAUAACUUCGGGAAACCGGAGCUAAUACAGGAUAAUAUUUUGAACCGCAUGGUUCAAUAGUGAAAGACGGUUUUGCUGUCACUUAUAGAUGGAUCCGCGCUGCAUUAGCUAGUUGGUAAGGAAACGGCUUACCAAGGCAACGAUGCGUAGCCGACCUGGGAGGGGGAUCGGCCACCCGGGAACGGGAACACGGUCCAGACUCCUACGGGGGGCAGCAGUAGGGAAUCUUCCGCAAUGGGCGAAGGCCUGACGGAGCAACGCCGCGGGAGGGAUGAAGGUCUUCGGAUCGUAAAACUCUGUUAUUAGGGAAAAACAAAUGUGUAAGUAACUAUGCACGUCUUGACGGUACCUAAUCAGAAAGCCACGGCUAACUACGUG